CCCUCGAUAGCUCAGUUGGCAGAGCGGUGGACUGUAGAUGUUGGAACAGAGAUCCAUAGGUCGCUGGUUCAAAUCCGGCUCGAGGGA
This is a non-coding RNA of Cordylochernes scorpioides, 87 nucleotides long. NCBI's taxonomy places the organism in Eukaryota, Metazoa, Arthropoda, Arachnida, Pseudoscorpiones, Chernetidae. The record is from the annotation of a GenBank genome assembly.